UNCAAGGCUGCUUGCUUGCUUGGUUGGU
RNAcentral lists this non-coding RNA (28 nucleotides) under Mus musculus (house mouse). The record is from RNAcentral. Lineage: Eukaryota; Metazoa; Chordata; Mammalia; Rodentia; Muridae.